Chlorocebus sabaeus (green monkey) is the source of this 223-nucleotide non-coding RNA. It matches the Rfam family "Metazoan signal recognition particle RNA". From Rfam's summary of the family: The signal recognition particle (SRP) is a universally conserved ribonucleoprotein. The record is from Rfam. NCBI's taxonomy places the organism in Eukaryota, Metazoa, Chordata, Mammalia, Primates, Cercopithecidae.
GCCGGGCGCGGUGGCUCAUGCCUGUAAUCCCAGCACUUUGGGAGGCCGAGGCAGGAGAACCGCUUGAACCUGGGUGACAGAGGUUACAGUAAGCUGAGAUUGUGCCACUGCAUUCCAGCCUGGGUGACAGAGGNUGCUCUGUCACCCAGGCUGGAAUGCAGUGGCACAAUCUCAGCUUACUGUAACCUCUGUCACCCAGGUUCAAGCGGUUCUCCUGCCUCAG